CGGGAUAGCUCAGCUGGAAGAGCAGAGGACUGAAAAUCCUCGUGCCCCCC
This 50-nucleotide transfer RNA is filed under the name Lachnaea grandiflora. Its description in RNAcentral is "partial transfer RNA-Phe". The record is from RNAcentral. Lineage: Eukaryota; Viridiplantae; Streptophyta; Magnoliopsida; Malvales; Thymelaeaceae.